GAAACCGGUGGGCCCUCGAAGUCCCGGUGCGAGAGGAUUCAGUCGGGCUUGGGCGACGGGCGUCGCGUCGUUCCUUCCAGGCUGCCCGGCUUGCCGGACUGCAGCCCCGUCGGAGCGCGCGGAACCGUUUCGUUCGCUUCCGACGCAUUUCCUGCUCGCCCGAACGGACGCCGCAGCCGGUCGGGUACGUAGUCAAGUCGUCCUUAAGGGCGGAAGGAGGGAGUUCACCGGGGAGGCACAUCACCUCGCCGGGCGUUGCCCUCGCCGCACCCGGAGCGACACCCGACCGUGGUUAGAAGCGAGACUCCAUGCUCGCGCCUCGUCCCCAAAGUGGAGCGACCGCCAGAAAGAAUCGUUAAGAGAGAGAUCACGCGGGUGCGGCCCGACUGUCCGAUCGCCUUUCGGGGCGGCGGGCUCGUCGGCGAGUCGCACUUAGACGCGCGACGGCGGGCGCGGGGACACGGAGGCUUGCGGUGACGAAGUCGGUCACCCACCGGGCCCGUCUUGAAACACGGACCAAGGAGUGCGACGCGCGCGCGAGUCUGAGGGUCUCGAAGAAGCCCCGAGGCGAAGCGAAAGCAACGGUCGGGAUCCCUUGCACUGAGUUGUAGGGGCGCACCGACGGCCCGCCGAUGCGGAGACGUCUUGCCCACCUUGGGUGUCGUCUGCGCGGCGGAGUCCAGAGCGCGCGUGUUGCGACCCGAAAGGCAGUGACCUAUGCUCGCUCGGAGCGAAGUCAGGGGAAACCCUGGUGGAAGCGCUGAGGGCUUCUGACGUGCAAAUCGAUUCCGAGAAGGAGGUAUAGU
Molecule: ribosomal RNA, 806 nt
Filed under: Neoleptoneta capilla
Lineage: Eukaryota; Metazoa; Arthropoda; Arachnida; Araneae; Leptonetidae
Description: partial 28S ribosomal RNA
Rfam family: Eukaryotic large subunit ribosomal RNA (bases 516-806)
Source: RNAcentral